RNAcentral lists this ribosomal RNA (361 nucleotides) under uncultured bacterium. Its description in RNAcentral is "bacterial SSU rRNA". It matches the Rfam family "Bacterial small subunit ribosomal RNA", at positions 1143 to 1501 of the family's 1533-position model. The record is from RNAcentral.
AAGAGACUGCCGGUGAUAAGCCGCGAGGAAGGUGGGGAUGACGUCAAGUCCUCAUGGCCCUUACGGGCUGGGCUACACACGUGCUACAAUGGCGGUGACAAUGGGAUGCUAAGGGGCGACCCUUCGCAAAUCUCAAAAAGCCGUCUCAGUUCGGAUUGGAGUCUGCAACUCGACUCCAUGAAGUUGGAAUCGCUAGUAAUCGUGGAUCAGCAUGCCACGGUGAAUACGUUCCCGGGCCUUGUACACACCGCCCGUCACACCAUGGGAGUUGGUUCUACCUGAAGGCAGUGCGCUAACCCGCAAGGGAGGCAGCUGACCACGGUAGGGUCAGCGACUGGGGUGAAGUCGUAACAAGGUAACC